UCGAGAGAGAGAGCAGGGGAUAAACCAAAACCCUAACAACAUAAAUCCAUCAAAUCGAAAGGGGAAUUGAAGGCUAAUUCAAUGCAUGAACCUGGAAUGUUGAUUACCUAAGUGUUUCUAACAUCAAGAACAAAGAAAGACGAAGGAACAAGUCAAUCCAAGGCGCUAGAAACGCAAGAUCACGGUAAAUAGUCCUUGGAGCAAAUCUUGAACCGGAGGAACGAACACACAUCGCGCCAUUUAAUUGCUUCCGCUCGUCAAGUUCUUUAAAGGGUGAUAGUGUCUUUGGUUAAUGGAUGUUUUUUUUAUCAUGUAAUGGU
Helianthus annuus (common sunflower) is the source of this 320-nucleotide long non-coding RNA. RefSeq lists it as uncharacterized. The transcript is spliced from 3 exons. The record is from RefSeq and is a predicted model, not a curated record. NCBI's taxonomy places the organism in Eukaryota, Viridiplantae, Streptophyta, Magnoliopsida, Asterales, Asteraceae.